CAGCUUGCGAGCAGAACCUCCUGAGGUGUAUUUCCGGUCGUGCUGGGGCUGAGAGAGACCACAGCCCUUUGGGGGAUACAAGCAAGAGUUAAGUUGCUGUGAAUUCUGCCACCGUGCCCAGCUCUGAAGCCUCAGCUCUUGCCAAACAGACCCAUGUCAGCCCCGCUGGAUGCCGCCCUCCGCGCCCUUCAGGAGGAGCAGGCCAGACUCCAGAUGAGGCUGCAGGAGCUGCAGCAGCUGAGAAAGGAGCUCGGGGACUCCCCCAAAGACAAGUAAAUGUAUUUAUCUCCAGCACUCAGCAUCAAUGGAAUGGAAUUGGAGAUGCCUUCCUCCUAGGUGGGAGUGAGGAACACUCCUACUCCCCUCCCCUACUUCC
This 376-nucleotide small RNA is filed under the name Pongo abelii (Sumatran orangutan). Its description in RNAcentral is "processed transcript". The record is from RNAcentral. Lineage: Eukaryota; Metazoa; Chordata; Mammalia; Primates; Hominidae.